Eriocheir sinensis (Chinese mitten crab) is the source of this 2508-nucleotide long non-coding RNA. RefSeq lists it as uncharacterized. NCBI's taxonomy places the organism in Eukaryota, Metazoa, Arthropoda, Malacostraca, Decapoda, Varunidae. The record is from RefSeq and is a predicted model, not a curated record. The transcript is spliced from 5 exons.
UAACCCCUACCUGCCCACCAUACUUACCUGGCAGCAGCGGGGAUCAUGUUUCUUGGUCUUGACUCAGAAAAUUCAUAUAUGCUUCCUUACUAAUGAGACUUUCUAUACAACAAAGUGAGGUCAUUCUUUGUUGAUUUAUACCAUAAGGUGCUGGCUAUCAUGUGUUUGAAGGUACCCUAAACUUAACCUAACAAAACCCCAAACAGUCACUAUACGUCUUGACUCAGAAAAUUCAUAUAUGGUUCCUUACUAAUGAGACUUUCUAUACAACAAAGUGAGGUCAUUCUUUGUUGAUUUAUACCAUAAGGUGCUGGCUGUCAUGUGUUUGAAGAUACCCUAAACUUAACCUAACCUAACCUCACAAAACCCCAAACAGUUACUAUAGGUCUCGACUCAGAAAAUUCAUAUAUGCUUCCUUACUAAUAAGACUUUCUAUACAACAAAGUGAGGUCAUUCUUUGUUGAUUUAUACCAUAAGGUGCUGGCUGUCAUGUGUUUGAAGAUACCCUAAACUUAACCUAACAAAACCCCAAACAGUCACUAUAGGUCUUGACUCAGAAAAUUCAUAUAUGCUUCCUUACUAAUGAGACUUUCUAUACAACAAAGUGAGGUCAUUCUUUGUUGAUUUAUACCAUAAGGUGCUGGCUAUCAUGUGUUUGAAGAUACCCUAAACUUAACCUAACAAAACCCCAAACAGUCACUAUAGGUCUUGACUCAGAAAAUUCAUAUAUGCUUCCUUACUAAUGAGACUUUCUAUGCAACAAAGUGAGGUCAUUCUUUGUUGAUUUAUACCAUAAGGUGCUGGCUGUCAUGUGUUUGAAGAUACCCUAAACUUAACCUAACAAAACCCCAAACAGUUACUAUAGGUCUUGACUCAGAAAAUUCAUAUAUGCUUCCUUACUAAUGAGACUUUCUAUACAACAAAGUGAGGUCAUUCUUUGUUGAUUUAUACCAUAAGGUGCUGGCUGUCAUGUGUUUGAAGAUACCCUAAACUUAACCUAACAAAACCCCAAACAGUUACUAUAGGUCCUGACUCAGAAAAUUCAUAUAUGCUUCCUUACUAAUGAGACUUUCUAUACAACAAAGUGAGGUCAUUCUUUGUUGAUUUAUACCAUAAGGUGCUGGCUAUCAUGUGUUUGAAGAUACCCUAAACUUAACCUAACAAAACCCCAAACAGUUACUAUAGGUCUUGACUCAGAAAAUUCAUAUAUGCUUCCUUACUAAUGAGACUUUCUAUACAACAAAGUGAGGUCAUUCUUUGUUGAUUUAUACCAUAAGGUGCUGGCUAUCAUGUGUUUGAAGAUACCCUAAACUUAACCUAACAAAACCCCAAACAGUCACUAUAGGUCUUGACUCAGAAAAUUCAUCUAUGGUUCCUUACUAAUGAGACUUUCUAUACAACAAAGUGAGGUCAUUCUUUGUUGAUUUAUACCAUAAGGUGCUGGCUGUCAUGUGUUUGAAGAUACCCUAAACCUAACCUAACAAAACCCCAAACAGUCACUAUAGGUCUUGACUCAGAAAAUUCAUAUAUGCUUCCUUACUAAUGAGACUUUCUAUACAACAAAGUGAGGUCAUUCUUUGUUGAUUUAUACCAUAAGGUGCUGGCUAUCAUGUGUUUGAAGAUACCCUAAACUUAACCUAACCUAACCUAACAAAACCCCAAACAGUCACUAUAGGUCUUGACUCAGAAAAUUCAUAUAUGCUUCCUUACUAAUGAGACUUUCUAUACAACAAAGUGAGGUCAUUCUUUGUUGAUUUAUACCAUAAGGUGCUGGCUGUCAUGUGUUUGAAGAUACCCUAAACUUAACCUAACAAAACCCCAAACAGUCACUAUAGGUCUUGACUCAGAAAAUUCAUAUAUGCUUCCUUACUAAUGAGACUUUCUAUACAACAAAGUGAGGUCAUUCUUUGUUGAUUUAUACCAUAAGUCGCUGGCUAUCAUGUGUUUGAAGAUACCCUAAACUUAACCUAACCUAACCUAACCUAACAAAACCCCAAACAGUCACUAUAGGUCUUGACUCAGAAAAUUCAUAUAUGCUUCCUUACUAAUGAGACUUUCUAUACAACAAAGUGAGGUCAUUCUUUGUUGAUUUAUACCAUAAGGUGCUGGCUAUCAUGUGUUUGAAGAUACCCUAAAUUUAACCUAACAAAACCCCAAACAGUCACUAUAGGUCUUGACUCAGAAAAUUCAUAUAUGCUUCCUUACUAAUGAGACUUUCUAUACAACAAAGUGAGGUCAUUCUUUGUUGAUUUAUACCUGAAUAUCUGUGCUGUUCCACUUCUUCCUCUCUCUCUCUCUUUUACCUUCUCUCCUCUCCUCUUCUUUCCUCUUCUCUAUAUUUGCUAACUUUUCCUUCUCUCCCUCUCUUCCUCUAUUUCUCUUGUUCUUUCCUUCCUUCCUUUCUCUCAUUCUGUUAAAACAUCAACUUCACUCUCCCCCUCUCCCACCUCUCUCUCCUCCCUUACCCUCCUCCUCUCCAUCCCUCCCUCCUCCUCACCCUCUCUCCCU